RNAcentral lists this transfer RNA (71 nucleotides) under Mus musculus (house mouse). Its description in RNAcentral is "tRNA-Ser". Lineage: Eukaryota; Metazoa; Chordata; Mammalia; Rodentia; Muridae. The record is from RNAcentral.
GGUGAGAUGGCUCAGUGGUAAGAGCACCCGACUGCUCUUCUGAAGGUCCAGAGUUCAAAUCCCAGCAACCA